AGAAACUGCCACACCACACCACCUGCCUGACACAAAACCUGCAGGGUUUAAAUAAAAAUUCAAGACGAGUCCUAGCUUCAAUUUUAUUUGCUCAUUUGAUUAGUUGAAGGCAUUUCCUUUCACUUGACUAGAUCUUUAAAAAGUAACAAUUCCAGUUAUGACUGUUACUGUUGUCAGCUUGCUAGGGUCUAGUAUCUCUGUGGAGACAGCGUUAGGAAAUGCCUGUACUGGAUUAUCUCAAUUACUUUAAUGGAUAAGGAAGCACCCAGUGUAAUUGUGGGCAGGACCAUUCUCAGAGCAGGGGAUUCUGGUGUUUUUGUCAGGAAGAUUUGUUUUGCAAGGGGGAAAGAGGCAAGGCGUCUGGGAUGCGCAGAAACACAGACAAUGUUUUUGAAAAUCAUCUUUAACGAGAUGUGGCGGAAACUGACAGUGAUAUAGAAAACCAGAAUCAUAGUUGCCCUGGAAGACAAAAAGCACAAAAGGAAAGGGCUGGAGAGAUGGCUCAGCGGUUAAGAGCCCCGACUGCUCUUCCAGAGGUCCUGAGUUCAAUUCCCAGCAACCACAUGGUGGCUUACAACCAUCUGUAAAGAGAUCCGAUGCCCUCUUCUGGUGUGUCUGAAAACAGCUACAGUGUACUUAUAUAUAAUAAAUGAAUAAAUCUUUAAAAAAUU
Molecule: long non-coding RNA, 671 nt
Organism: Rattus norvegicus (Norway rat)
Lineage: Eukaryota; Metazoa; Chordata; Mammalia; Rodentia; Muridae
Source: RefSeq, a predicted model, not a curated record